This 801-nucleotide ribosomal RNA is filed under the name uncultured bacterium. Its description in RNAcentral is "bacterial SSU rRNA". It matches the Rfam family "Bacterial small subunit ribosomal RNA", at positions 65 to 837 of the family's 1533-position model. The record is from RNAcentral.
UACGAGGACUAGGGAGCUUGCUCCCUAUAGCCGAGUGGCGAACGGGUGCGUAACACGUGACCAACCUGUCUUCGGGAGGGGGACAACCUGGGGAAACCCGGGCUAAUACCGCAUAUCGUCUCCGUGCCGCAUGACGUGGAGAUAAAAGAGGGCCUCUGCUCGCAAGCUCUCGCCUGAAGAGGGGGUCGCGGCGUAUCAGCUAGUUGGUGGGGUAACGGCCUACCAAGGCCACGACGCGUAGCGGGUCUGAGAGGAUGGCCCGUCACAUUGGGACUGAGAUACGGCCCAGACUCCUACGGGAGGCAGCAGUAAGGAAUAUUGCGCAAUGGGCGAAAGCCUGACGCAGCGACGCCGCGUGUGGGAGGAAGCCUUUCGGGGUGUAAACCACUGUCAGGGGGGAAGAACCAUCCAGGUGCGAAUAGCUACUGGAUUUGACGGUACCCCCAGAGGAAGCGCCGGCCAACUCCGUGCCAGCAGCCGCGGUAAGACGGAGGGCGCAAGCGUUGUUCGGAAUUACUGGGCGUAAAGCGCGGGCAGGCUGUCCGUUAAGUCUUCUGUGAAACUCCGGGGCUCAACUCCGGACAUGCAGGAGAUACUGGCGGACUGGAGACCGGUAGAGGCUAGCGGAAUUCCUGGUGUAGCGGUGGAAUGCGUAGAUAUCAGGAAGAACACCUGUGGCGAAGGCGGCUAGCUGGGCCGGAUCUGACGCUGAUCUGCGAAAGCGUGGGGAGCAAACAGGAUUAGAUACCCUGGUAGUCCACGCCGUAAACGAUGAGAACUAGAUGUCGGGAGGAUUUAGCC